RNAcentral lists this small RNA (173 nucleotides) under Gopherus agassizii (Agassiz's desert tortoise). RNAcentral describes it as "TUC338 (ENSGAGG00000017870.1)". Lineage: Eukaryota; Metazoa; Chordata; Testudines; Testudinidae. The record is from RNAcentral.
UGGACUGUCCUGGAGACCUAAAUCAUCUAUUUAUCCACAGAACAAAUCCAGCACAAACAAUGGAGAUGUGAGCAUCCUCAGUGUCCCAAUGAAUUUCAGCACUGACAUGACGGACCAGUUCUUGGGGUGAGAGGACAGUUCAGGGUUCUGUGCUGAAUUAAUCAUUGGCUUCU